AAGCAGGGGAUCGUAAGACCUUGCGCUUUUGGAGCGGCCGAUGUCUGAUUAGCUAGUUGGUGGGGUAAAGGCCUACCAAGGCGACGAUCAGUAGUUGGUCUGAGAGGACGACCAGCCACACUGGGACUGAGACACGGCCCAGACUCCUACGGGAGGCAGCAGUGGGGAAUUUUGGACAAUGGGCGAAAGCCUGAUCCAGCAAUGCCGCGUGAGUGAAGAAGGCCUUCGGGUUGUAAAGCUCUUUCAGUCGAGAAGAAAAGGUUGUGAUGAAUAAUCACAACUCAUGACGGUAUCGACAGAAGAAGCACCGGCUAACUACGUGCCAGCAGCCGCGGUAAUACGUAGGGUGCAAGCGUUAAUCGGAAUUACUGGGCGUAAAGGGUGCGCAGGCGGCUUUGUAAGUCAGAUGUGAAAUCCCCGGGCUUAACCUGGGAAUUGCGUUUGAAACUACAAAGCCAGA
Molecule: ribosomal RNA, 460 nt
Filed under: uncultured beta proteobacterium
Lineage: Bacteria; Pseudomonadati; Pseudomonadota; Betaproteobacteria
Description: bacterial SSU rRNA
Rfam family: Bacterial small subunit ribosomal RNA
Source: RNAcentral